GGCGGUUGGGACGGAGAGAAGUGAGACGACGAAUUGGGAGUCGAAAGGGAGACCGAUGGGAUCCCAAGCGGGGCGUGUAGGUCUUCGAUCGUCGCAGCGUAGAUCGAUGGUUCUGGUAGAGAAGGCGGAGGAGGAGGAGGAGGAGGAGGGAAGCGGGGGCCGACGGGCGUCUCCUUCAAUGGCUCCCGGGACCCGGAUCCAGCCAAAAUCAAGAUCGAUGCCGGAGGGAGGUUGGACACUCUCGUGCCUUGUCGAAGCUGGGUCGGAGCGCCCAGGGGAAGGGAGAUCGGGUGGAUCUUGGUUUUCGGUUCGUCGCAUCUUUGGCGAGGGAGAGAGAUGGGGAUUGGCAGCACUUCGUCGUGAAAGCUGCUGCAAUCUGUGGUUUGCGCAUGUUCACCGCCGCCUGGGAUUUUGUAGUUCUUCGGUACCUUUUCUGGGUUUAGCUCCUGGAACUCUUGGAAUGCUUACGAUCCGGUGUAUCCGAGAUCACCAUGUUGCCGAAUUCGUUUGUUUUGGUGGUGAUCAUGACUUGGUACACCGUGGGUUCGAGUUUGGUUCUCUUUCGUCCCCUCUUCUCUUUUUCGGUCAUCGAUCGCACUUCCUAUAGGUAUAACCUUUUGGCCAUAACAUUGAAAGAACUUCGAAACUAACGAUUAAUUGUAGAUAUCUGAAUUUUUGCAAGUCACCGAAAAAAGGAGGAGAAUGGAGUAUUGCAGACGCGGUUAAAGAAAUACUAACAGAGAGAAAGAGAGAAAAAAAGAAAUGACUGAUACCAUUGUUCCGUAUCAAUACAGAUUCACUCUGUCAAACACAUCAUUUUCAGGUGGGCACAGAAACUAUAUCUGGUUUGUCUUAAUAGAUCAAGGUGUGUUAGGUUAUGAGUUUUGGUGGUAUACGGAAAUCAAACCUUGUCAAGAAAUAAGUAUGUCAUGAUUACAUGUUUGGAAUAACAUGGAAUGGAUUAAAUUAGUGUCUUAGAUCUUAAUUUAGAUUGUUAGUGUAAAUAUAAGACCACAAAUUCCUUUUCUCUGCACAAAGUGUGAUAGGUUAUGAGUUUUGGUGGUACACGGAAAUCAAACCUUGUCAAGAAAUCAGUAUGCCAUCUUUACAUGUUUGGGAUAAUAUGGAAUGGAUUAAAUUAGUGUCUUAGAUCUUAAUUUAGAUUGUUGGCAUAAAUAUAAGACCAGAUAUUCCUUUUCUCUACACAAAGUGUGUUAGGUUAUGAGUGUUUGUGGUAUACGGAAAUCAAACCUUGUCAAGAAAUGAGUAUGUCAUCUUUACAUUGUUUGGAAUAACCUGAAUCGGAUUAAAUUAGUGUCUUAGAUCUUAAUCUAGAUUGUUGGGAUAAAUAUAAGACCAGAAAUUCCUUUUCUCUACACAAGUCAAAUCUCUAAAUUUCUUUACAUUCAAUUAAUAAGUCCAUUAUUUCAGAAAAUUAUUGCCUUUUUUGAUUGGACUGAUCUAUCAUGGAUAUGAUAGACCAAGAAUUUCUCUUUUAGUCUACAUGAUCCCUCCUCCAUUCGCCAUGGAGAACAUGCAUAGCAUCUGAUUGAGACAGAUUAAACAAUUGUGGAUCCUUGUCUUAGUUGCAUACCACAGAAUUCUCUUCUUUCCUGCUCUUAACUCGAUGGCGGUGAGUAGUAUCUUCAUGAGGAGGGAGGGAUCACAAAACAAUGUGGUAAUACUCCUCAUUUGAUAAUAUAUUAGUUCUACCUGCGUAUAUGCAAUUUCUUUAAGAUGGAUUCAUUUGAUUCCCAAAAUGCAAGAGCAUUUUAUAUGUCACUAACAUUCCCUUUUCUCCACGACAAAUGUAGAUCUACCGAAUAUGUGAGGCAACUUCUGAAUUUGGAUUAAGGAUUUGAUGGUGCCUGAUAAUCUGAAGCCUACAGAUCCUACUUUUGGAUCUCUUAAUCUUGGAUCUCAAUGGAGGCAAAUCUAUCUUUAGGAUCUUGUUUGAGUAUAGAUUUAUUCUACCUACAUAUGUAGAUUGAUCGAGGUUGUGAGGCAACUUCUGAAUUUGGAUCAAGGAUGUUAAUGGAGCCUGACGUUCUGAAGCCUGAUCUGAAAUCUCAAGCACAGAUCCUAGUUUUGGAUCUCUUUAUCUUAUCAGCGUACAAUUCUUGAAUCUUUAUCUGGUAACUUGUUAUAAUCUAGAACAUGACUCUGAUCCAACCUGCAAUGUUGCAUGUAGAUCCACAUUUUGAAACUAUAGGUGGAUCGGUCCAAAAUUAUGUAAUUCUAUAACCUACCAAGAUUAGUCCAUGUCUGUGUUAAGCUAGGUUUAAGAAUUUAGAUUUCAGCAGGUCCGAAUGCAUUGAUCUCCUUCCUUGCCAAUCUUCCAGACUAGAUUGUAUCUAAUUCCUUGCAUGAUCCAUAAGCAACUCAUACAAUGACAUCGUUUUGGGCCUCUAGGUUGAUAAAAAUGUUUGUGAUCUCAGGUUCAUGUAUAGAGAGAUGAUCAAUAAAACUUCGUUAAGGUAGAUGAAGAAGCAAGAUCGCCAACUAGUGCCAUUAAUAUAUUGUGAUUGACUUGUUCGAUUGAGAGAAUUUCCUUUUUAGUGUUUCCUGUUAAGGUCUACUUAUCCUUUUGCACUAUUAAUGGUGAACCUUUAAAUCUUCUUUGAACAUAUUCCUGACAUCAUAAUCUCUUUUGUUUCAGGUGAAGUUAUUUUAAUCAUAGACAAAUACAAAUUCUUUAUAAUAAUCUCACAGAUUAUCUCUUAAACCAUCUAAGAUAUAAAUGAAAGAUUAGUAAAAGAUAUUUAACUCAAAUGUACUAGUUUUUGCACACAAGUGCUGUUUGCUUGGGAGAUGCUUACAUUCCAAAUGGUAUGAUCUUCCAUGGGCCUCUGGAACCAAUCAAUGAGACCUCACUUCAGGUACGUUCAUGGCGCUUCUGUCAACUAUGCUAAAUUCAUUAAUAAGACUUUGCAGGCAAUAGGAUAAAUCUUUUUCGACCAAUUCUUUAACUGUCAUGAAUACUUUCAAGGUAACAAGUAAAUGAUUUGUGACGAAUUUAAUCUGAUCUAAAUUUCUAGUCUCCAUCCUAUUCCUCUGUCAUGCAACUCUACUCUCUCCUCACCUCUUAAAGAAAUUAACAGCAAGUUCCGGCUUAGUUUUGUGGUUGUUUCAGGACGCACAAUCAACAACCAUGCAGUCUUAUUGAUUUUUCCUGGUUUCUUGGUCUCCAUAAUUUUUUUUAUUAAUGUGAAUUUGCUUCUAAAUUUUGGUCUUAGUCGAAUCCGAAUCAAAUCAUGUUUCUCGAUACUUUGGGCAUCUGAUCUUAUAGGUUGGAGCUAGAAAACCAGUGGCAACUAUUUUCUUGAGAGCUUUGGUGUAGUUAGUUCCUUGUGGUUCUGUGGAAUUAUCUUAAUAAUUAUAUUGCACAAUCAUCAUGUCCAACAUAUAUCACUGUGGGAUAGAGUUAAUAAUACCCUAAACGAAUGAGUCCUACCAACCUUCUUCACCAAUUUAAGGGGAUUGCUCCUUUGCAAUAUACUCGAAUAAUUGCAUGGUGAUGGACUUCCGAUUCUUUGAUUUAUCUUUGCUCCCAUCUAAAGAUUUUCUUAUAUAAUAUUCUUUUAAGAAGAGCGCUCUCUUCUCAUCUCUCUCCGGGCUGUGGAAGGUGGAGGCUCAUCGACGAUCGACGAUUGCCUUUGAUGGUACGAUCUCCAUAAUAUCUUGUUUCUUUUGAUCUCUUAUUUCGUUCCAACUUAUUCAUCUCUUGUUGUCAGCUACAACACUCAUAAAUCUUGGUAUCUUUGUUUUUGGUUGUCGAGGUAAAUCUUGACAUUCUUGAUCCCUGUCUUUUGGUUUAUGCGGUACUAUUAGUUUUAUGACAACACUAACAAACUACUUGUACAUUGUGCAUACGAAGUCCAUUUAUUUUGUGGGAGUCAUGGCGUGAACGUGGACAAGCAACACUGUUCUUUGAAAAUUUUUGGGAUUUCUAUGAUGUGAUUUUGUUUGUGCGCUGCAGGAAGAGCUUUGUGAAUUUUACUACUCCAAAAUGCAAGUAAGACUUUGACCACAUUAAUUUCAGUAGCAGACUUGUCUUUUGGGUAGACCAAAUAUGUAAGUCCUCAUUUAUGUUCAAUUGGGCUAUCCGGGUCAAUUGGGAGGCCGGCCUAGGUUUUAUUUUUCUUAUUGAGAAUAGAAAAUUAUCUACGGUUAAAUUUUAAGAUUCAGUGUGAAGAGUUUUAGGUUUCAUGGUCAUGUUCUUACAGCUUGUUUCACGGUAUCACAUAGCAUUCAUUUUUCUUGUACACACUCUCAUUCUAUGAUUCUGCCAUUUUCAUUUUCUUCGGAA
Long non-coding RNA from Musa acuminata AAA Group (dessert banana), 4309 nucleotides. RefSeq lists it as uncharacterized. The transcript is spliced from 3 exons. NCBI's taxonomy places the organism in Eukaryota, Viridiplantae, Streptophyta, Magnoliopsida, Zingiberales, Musaceae. The record is from RefSeq and is a predicted model, not a curated record.